This 612-nucleotide small RNA is filed under the name Paraconiothyrium cyclothyrioides. RNAcentral's name for it is "eukaryotic LSU rRNA". It matches the Rfam family "Eukaryotic large subunit ribosomal RNA", at positions 41 to 664 of the family's 3401-position model. The record is from RNAcentral. Lineage: Eukaryota; Fungi; Ascomycota; Dothideomycetes; Pleosporales; Didymosphaeriaceae.
UAUCAAUAAGCGGAGGAAAAGAAACCAACAGGGAUUGCCCUAGUAACGGCGAGUGAAGCGGCAACAGCUCAAAUUUGAAAUCUGGCUCUCUUUGGGGGUCCGAGUUGUAAUUUGCAGAGGAUGCUUUGGCAUUGGCGGCGGUCUAAGUUCCUUGGAACAGGACAUCGCAGAGGGUGAGAAUCCCGUACGUGGGCGCCUGCCUUUGCCGUGUAAAGCUCCUUCGACGAGUCGAGUUGUUUGGGAAUGCAGCUCUAAAUGGGAGGUAAAUUUCUUCUAAAGCUAAAUACCGGCCAGAGACCGAUAGCGCACAAGUAGAGUGAUCGAAAGAUGAAAAGUACUUUGGAAAGAGAGUCAAAAAGCACGUGAAAUUGUUGAAAGGGAAGCGCUUGCAGCCAGACUUGCCCGCAGUUGCUCACCUAGGCUUUGGCCUGGGGCACUCUUCUGCGGGCAGGCCAGCAUCAGUUUGGGCGGUCGGACAAAGGCCUCUGUCAAGUAUCUCCCUUCGGGGUGACCUUAUAGGGGAGGCGUAAUGCGACCAGCCCGGACUGAGGUCCGCGCAUCUGCUAGGAUGCUGGCGUAAUGGCUGUAAGCGGCCCGUCUUGAAACACGGGA